AGGCGUCUGCGGCUGAGGACUGCAGCGCUUGAAUCUCAAGACUUUGUCAUCCUGAGUUGCGUAUCUUUCUGAAUUUAGAGUUUCUGUCCUCACUUCCUAUGUUUGAAGGAGACCCGACUUCAGCUCAGCUUUUUGGGGCCUAAGGGUCCAGAAGAACUCUCGCAGGAGGAUGCCUCUCUUCUUUCGGAAGCGGAAACCCAGUGAGGAAGCUCGGAAACGCCUGGAGUACCAGAUGUGUCUGGCAAAAGAAGCUGGGGCAGAUGACAUCCUUGACAUCUCUAAGUGCGAGCUUUCCGAGAUUCCAUUUGGGGCUUUUGCAACGUGCAAAGUUCUACAGAAAAAG
Molecule: long non-coding RNA, 343 nt
Filed under: Rattus norvegicus (Norway rat)
Lineage: Eukaryota; Metazoa; Chordata; Mammalia; Rodentia; Muridae
Description: long non-coding RNA NONRATT019194
Source: RNAcentral